Molecule: ribosomal RNA, 253 nt
Filed under: uncultured bacterium
Lineage: Bacteria
Description: partial 16S ribosomal RNA
Rfam family: Bacterial small subunit ribosomal RNA
Source: RNAcentral
UACAGAGGGUGCGAGCGUUAAUCGGAAUUACUGGGCGUAAAGCGUGCGUAGACGGUUUCGUAAGUCGGGUGUGAAAGCCCCGGGCUCAACCUGGGAAUUGCAUUCGAGACUGCGUAGCUAGGGUGCGGAAGAGGGAAGCGGAAUUUCCGGUGUAGCGGUGAAAUGCGUAGAUAUCGGAAGGAACAUCAGUGGCGAAAGCGGCUUCCUGGUCCAGCACCGACGUUCAGGCACGAAAGCGUGGGGAGCAAACGGG